GAUGAAGAACGCAGCGAAAUGCGAUAAGUAAUGUGAAUUGCAGAAUUCAGUGAAUCAUCGAAUCUUUGAACGCACCUUGCGCUCCUUGGUAUUCCGAGGAGCAUGCCUGUUUGAGUGUCAUGAAAUUCUCAACCUUAUCAGCUUUCUUUGUUGAUCAGGCUUGGAUGUGGGAGUAUGCGGGCUUCUCAGAAGUCGGCUCUCCUGAAAUGCAUUAGCGGGACCUUUGUUGCCUGGCUUUGGUGUGAUAAUUAUCUACGCCAUUGUAGUCAAGCAGCUUAAAAUGAGGUUUCAGCUUCUAACCGUCUCCCCUGAGACAACUUUUUGACAAUUUGACCUCAAAUCAGGUAGGACUACCCGCUGAACUUAAGCAUAUCAAUAAGCGGAGGA
RNAcentral lists this unclassified non-coding RNA (387 nucleotides) under soil metagenome. Its description in RNAcentral is "partial contains 5.8S ribosomal RNA, internal transcribed spacer 2, and large subunit ribosomal RNA". The stretch from base 1 to 120 matches the Rfam family "5.8S ribosomal RNA", at positions 35 to 154 of the family's 154-position model. The record is from RNAcentral.